CCCUUAGAUGUUCUGGACCGCACGCGCGCUACACUGAUGCAUUCAACGAGUGUACCUUGGCCGAGAGGCCUGGGCAAUCUUUUGAACGUGCAUCGUGAUAGGGAUAGAUUAUUGCAAUUAUUAAUCUUGAACGAGGAAUUCCUAGUAAACGCAGUUCAUCAAACUGCAUUGAUUACGUCCCUGCCCUUUGUACACACCGCCCGUCGCACCUACCGAUUGGAUGGUCCGGUGAAGCCUCGGGAUUGUGGCGGUUGCCUUUAUUGGUGGCCGCCGCGAGAACUUGUCUAAACCUUAUCAUCUAGAGGAAGGUGAAGUCGUAACA
This 322-nucleotide ribosomal RNA is filed under the name uncultured eukaryote. RNAcentral's name for it is "partial 18S ribosomal RNA". It matches the Rfam family "Eukaryotic small subunit ribosomal RNA", at positions 1470 to 1796 of the family's 1831-position model. The record is from RNAcentral.